UGGUUUAGUUGGUAGAGCAUGGCGCUUGCAAUGCCAAGGGAUGUGGGUUCGAUUCCCAC
Molecule: transfer RNA, 59 nt
Filed under: Oncorhynchus kisutch (coho salmon)
Lineage: Eukaryota; Metazoa; Chordata; Actinopteri; Salmoniformes; Salmonidae
Also listed under: 3 other names
Rfam family: tRNA
About the family: Transfer RNA (tRNA) molecules are approximately 80 nucleotides in length. Their secondary structure includes four short double-helical elements and three loops (D, anti-codon, and T loops). Further hydrogen bonds mediate the characteristic L-shaped molecular structure. tRNAs have two regions of fundamental functional importance: the anti-codon, which is responsible for specific mRNA codon recognition, and the 3' end, to which the tRNAs corresponding amino acid is attached (by aminoacyl-tRNA synthetases). tRNAs cope with the degeneracy of the genetic code in two manners: having more than one tRNA (with a specific anti-codon) for a particular amino acid; and 'wobble' base-pairing, i.e. permitting non-standard base-pairing at the 3rd anti-codon position.
Source: Rfam by way of RNAcentral